GCAAGUCGAACGGUAACAGGAAACAGCUUGCUGUUUCGCUGACGAGUGGCGGACGGGUGAGUAAUGUCUGGGAAACUGCCUGAUGGAGGGGGAUAACUACUGGAAACGGUAGCUAAUACCGCAUAACGUCGCAAGACCAAAGAGGGGGACCUUCGGGCCUCUUGCCAUCGGAUGUGCCCAGAUGGGAUUAGCUAGUAGGUGGGGUAAAGGCUCACCUAGGCGACGAUCCCUAGCUGGUCUGAGAGGAUGACCAGCCACACUGGAACUGAGACACGGUCCAGACUCCUACGGGAGGCAGCAGUGGGGAAUAUUGCACAAUGGGCGCAAGCCUGAUGCAGCCAUGCCGCGUGUAUGAAGAAGGCCUUCGGGUUGUAAAGUACUUUCAGCGGGGAGGAAGGGAGUAAAGUCAAUACCUUUGCUCAUUGACGUUACCCGCAGAAGAAGCACCGGCUAACUCCGUGCCAGCAGCCGCGGUAAUACGGAGGGUGCAAGCGUUAAUCGGAAUUACUGGGCGUAAAGCGCACGCAGGCGGUUUGUUAAGUCAGAUGUGAAAUCCCCGGGCUCAACCUGGGAACUGCAUCUGAUACUGGCAAGCUUGAGUCUCGUAGAGGGGGGUAGAAUUCCAGGUGUAGCGGUGAAAUGCGUAGAGAUCUGGAGGAAUACCGGUGGCGAAGGCGGCCCCCUGGACGAAGACUGACGCUCAGGUGCG
RNAcentral lists this ribosomal RNA (709 nucleotides) under uncultured Escherichia sp. RNAcentral describes it as "bacterial SSU rRNA". It matches the Rfam family "Bacterial small subunit ribosomal RNA", at positions 57 to 755 of the family's 1533-position model. Lineage: Bacteria; Pseudomonadati; Pseudomonadota; Gammaproteobacteria; Enterobacterales; Enterobacteriaceae. The record is from RNAcentral.